GGUAAAAUGGCUGAGUGUAAGCAUUGAACUGUAAAUUCAAAGACAGAGAUUUAACCCUCUUUUUACCA
Molecule: transfer RNA, 68 nt
Filed under: Planigale gilesi (flat-skulled marsupial mouse)
Lineage: Eukaryota; Metazoa; Chordata; Mammalia; Dasyuromorphia; Dasyuridae
Description: tRNA-Tyr
Rfam family: tRNA
About the family: Transfer RNA (tRNA) molecules are approximately 80 nucleotides in length. Their secondary structure includes four short double-helical elements and three loops (D, anti-codon, and T loops).
Source: RNAcentral